CCUACGGGAGGCAGCAGUGGGGAAUAUUGGGCAAUGGGCGAAAGCCUGACCCAGCGACGCCGCGUGAGGGACGAAGGCCUUCGGGUUGUAAACCUCUUUCAGCAGGGAAGAAGCGAAAGUGACGGUACCUGCAGAAGAAGCACCGGCUAACUACGUGCCAGCAGCCGCGGUAAUACGUAGGGUGCAAGCGUUGUCCGGAAUUAUUGGGCGUAAAGAGCUCGUAGGUGGUUUGCCACGUCGGAUGUGAAAACCUGAGGCUUAACCUCAGGCCUGCAUUCGAUACGGGCAGACUAGAGUGUGGUAGGGGAGACUGGAAUUCCUGGUGUAGCGGUGAAAUGCGCAGAUAUCAGGAGGAACACCGGUGGCGAAGGCGGGUCUCUGGGCCAUAACUGACACUGAGGAGCGAAAGCGUGGGGAGCAAACAGGAUUAGAUACCCUGGUAGUCCACGCCGUAAACGGUGGGCACUAGAUGUGGGGACCUUCCACGGUCUCUGCGUCGCNGCUACGCAUAGUCGCCCGGCCCGGGACGGUACGGCCGCGACGGACGUAAACCGUACGAAGAGUAGUAAGGUCGUGUUGAGUGUUCGACGACGCGACGACGGAGGGAGG
Molecule: ribosomal RNA, 609 nt
Filed under: uncultured bacterium
Lineage: Bacteria
Description: bacterial SSU rRNA
Rfam family: Bacterial small subunit ribosomal RNA (bases 1-522)
Source: RNAcentral